Molecule: transfer RNA, 73 nt
Filed under: Pteropus alecto (black flying fox)
Lineage: Eukaryota; Metazoa; Chordata; Mammalia; Chiroptera; Pteropodidae
Rfam family: tRNA
About the family: Transfer RNA (tRNA) molecules are approximately 80 nucleotides in length.
Source: Rfam by way of RNAcentral
GGUUCCAUAGUGUAGCUGUUAGCAUGUCUGUUUUACACACAGAAGGUUCUGGGUUCACACACCAGUAGAGCCA